Molecule: ribosomal RNA, 412 nt
Filed under: uncultured eukaryote
Lineage: Eukaryota
Description: bacterial SSU rRNA
Rfam family: Eukaryotic small subunit ribosomal RNA
Source: RNAcentral
UAAUAGCGUAUAUUAAAAGUUGUUGCAGUUAAAAAGCUCGUAGUCGGAUGUCGGGCUCGGGCAGGCUGUCGGCUUCGGUCGGACGGCAGGCUCGGGUCUUUCUGCCUGAGGAUCCCGUUGCACUUAAUUGUGGGGCGUGGGGACGCAGGCCGUUUACUUUGAAAAAAUUAGAGUGUUCAAAGCGGGCUUACGCUUGAAUAUAUUAGCAUGGAAUAACACUAUAGGACUCCUGUCCUAUCUCGUUGGUCUCGGGAUGGGAGUAAUGAUUAAGAGGAACAGUUGGGGGCAUUCGUAUUUCAUUGUCAGAGGUGAAAUUCUUGGAUUUAUGAAAGACGAACUUCUGCGAAAAGCAUUUGCCAAGGAUGUUUUCAUUAAUCAAGAACGAAAGUUGGGGGCUCGAAGAUGAUCAGAU